CCUACGGGAGGCAGCAGUGAGGAAUAUUGGUCAAUGGACGAGAGUCUGAACCAGCCAAGUAGCGUGAAGGAUGACUGCCCUCUGGGUUGUAAACUUCUUUUAUAUGGGAAUAAAACAGGGUAUGCAUACCUUCUUGUAUUUACCAUAUGAAUAAGGAUCGGGUAACUCCGUGCCAGCAGCCGCGGUAAUACGGAGGAUCCGAGCGUUAUCCGGAUUGAUUGGGUUUAAAGGGAGCGCAGGUGGAUUGUUAAGUUAGUUGUGAAAGGUUGCGGCUCAACCGUAAAAUUGCAGUUGAAACUGGCAGUCUUGAGUACAGUAGAGGUGGGCAGAAUUCGUGGUGUAGCGGUGAAAUGCUUAGAUAUCACGAAGAACACCGAUUGCGAAGGCAGCUCACUGGACUGAAACUGACACUGAGGCUCGAAAGUGUGGGUAUCAAACAGGAUUAGAUACCCUAGUAGUC
Molecule: ribosomal RNA, 460 nt
Filed under: uncultured bacterium
Lineage: Bacteria
Description: partial 16S ribosomal RNA
Rfam family: Bacterial small subunit ribosomal RNA
Source: RNAcentral